CCUACGGGAGGCUGCAGUGAGGAAUAUUGGUCAAUGGACGAGAGUCUGAACCAGCCAAGUAGCGUGAAGGAUGACUGCCCUAUGGGUUGUAAACUUCUUUUAUAUGGGAAUAAAAUGUUCCACGUGUGGGAUUUUGUAUGUACCAUAUGAAUAAGGAUCGGCUAACUCCGUGCCAGCAGCCGCGGUAAUACGGAGGAGCCGAGCGUUAUCCGGAUUUAGUGGGGUUAAAGGGAGCGUAGGUGGAUUGUUAAGUCAGUUGUGAAAGUUUGCGGCGCAACCGUAAAAUUGCAGUUGAAACUGGCAGUCUUGAGUACAGUAGAGGUGGGCGGAAUUCGUGGUGUAGCGGUGAAAUGCUUAGAUAUCACGAAGAACUCCGAUUGCGAAGGCAGCUCACUGGACUGCAACUGACACUGAGGCUCGAAAGUGUGGGUAUCAAACAGGAUUAGAUACCCUUGUAGUC
This 460-nucleotide ribosomal RNA is filed under the name uncultured bacterium. RNAcentral's name for it is "partial 16S ribosomal RNA". It matches the Rfam family "Bacterial small subunit ribosomal RNA", at positions 338 to 795 of the family's 1533-position model. The record is from RNAcentral.